UUGCAGGCAUAUCACGUUGAAACAACAGUUCUCGUAUGAUUACUAAAGUUAAGCAAUAUUGAGCCUGGUCAGUACCUAGAUGGGUGACCGCUUGGGAAUAUCAGGUGCUGUAAG
Molecule: non-coding RNA, 114 nt
Organism: Acanthosepion pharaonis
Lineage: Eukaryota; Metazoa; Mollusca; Cephalopoda; Sepiida; Sepiidae
Source: the annotation of a GenBank genome assembly